UACAGAGGGGGCGAGCGUUAUUCGGAUUUACUGGGCGUAAAGAGCGCGCAGGCGGUCGUGCAAGUCGCGUGUGAAAGCCCCCGGCUCAACUGGGGAGGGUCACGCGAUACUGCUCGACUCGAAGGCAGGAGAGGGAAGUGGAAUUCCUGGUGUAGCGGUGAAAUGCGCAGAUAUCAGGAAGAACACCGAUGGCGAAAGCAGCUCUCUGGGACGGUACUGACGCUCAUGCACGAAAGCGUGGGGAGCAAACAGG
Molecule: ribosomal RNA, 253 nt
Filed under: uncultured bacterium
Lineage: Bacteria
Description: partial 16S ribosomal RNA
Rfam family: Bacterial small subunit ribosomal RNA
Source: RNAcentral